This 497-nucleotide ribosomal RNA is filed under the name uncultured bacterium. RNAcentral's name for it is "partial 16S ribosomal RNA". It matches the Rfam family "Bacterial small subunit ribosomal RNA", at positions 28 to 507 of the family's 1533-position model. The record is from RNAcentral.
GAUGAACGCUGGCGGCGUGCCUAAUACAUGCAAGUCGAGCGAGCAGACGAGGAGCUUGCUCCUUCGACGUUAGCGGCGGACGGGUGAGUAACACGUAGGUAACCUACCUAUAAGACUGGGAUAACUUCGGGAAACCGGAGCUAAUACCGGAUAAUAUUUCGAACCGCAUGGUUCGAUAGUGAAAGAUGGCUUUGCUAUCACUUAUAGAUGGACCUGCGCCGUAUUAGCUAGUUGGUAAGGUAACGGCUUACCAAGGCAACGAUACGUAGCCGACCUGAGAGGGUGAUCGGCUACACUGGAACUGAGACACGGUCCAGACUCCUACGGGAGGCAGCAGUAGGGAAUCUUCCGCAAUGGGCGAAAGCCUGACGGAGCAACGCCGCGUGAGUGAUGAAGGUCUUCGGAUCGUAAAACUCUGUUAUUAGGGAAGAACAAACGUGUAAGUAACUGUGCACGUCUUGACGGUACCUAAUCAGAAAGCCACGGCUAACUACGUG